Molecule: ribosomal RNA, 254 nt
Filed under: uncultured bacterium
Lineage: Bacteria
Description: partial 16S ribosomal RNA
Rfam family: Bacterial small subunit ribosomal RNA
Source: RNAcentral
UACGUAGGGUGCGAGCGUUGUCCGGAAUUAUUGGGCGUAAAGAGCUUGUAGGCGGUUUGUUGCGUCGGCUGUGAAAACCUGAGGCUCAACCUCAGGCCUGCAGUCGAUACGAGCAGACUAGAGUGUUGCAGGGGAGACUGGAAUUCCUGGUGUGAGCGGUGAAAUGCGCAGAUAUCAGGAGGAACACCGGUGGCGAAGGCGGGUCUCUGGGCAACAACUGACGCUGAGGAGCGAAAGCGUGGGGAGCGAACAGG